This is an RNA transcript of Lotus japonicus, 1730 nucleotides long. It is a transcript of the gene named 1-acyl-sn-glycerol-3-phosphate acyltransferase LPAT1, chloroplastic, with no coding region annotated. The transcript is spliced from 8 exons. The record is from RefSeq and is a predicted model, not a curated record. NCBI's taxonomy places the organism in Eukaryota, Viridiplantae, Streptophyta, Magnoliopsida, Fabales, Fabaceae.
UUCACUCGCCUACGAAACAAACAAAAAACAGGGUACACGGUGGGAAAUCAAAUCAAAUGAUGAUGCCUUGAAAUUUGCGAGAUUCCGAUAACCCAACCUCUCAAACACCCAACUUCUUCACUUUCACACUCUCUCUGUCUGUCUGUGUCUUAUGCCAUGGACAUUGUUUCUCUCUCGUCACCCUCUCCAAUCCCUCGUCUCUAUCUCUGUCACCAAGAAGCUAGAUUCUUGUCUGGAUCAUCUUCCACUCUCUUGUGUUCACCUAGAGCAAUAACCACUUAUAAAUAUCCAAUUUUGAGGACACCCCAUAUUUCUUCUCAAAGUAGUUUGCUAGGUAUACCCCAGAAGCAAAGAAAUGCACCAUGGGUGCCUCUUUGUUCCAAAAUGGAGUUUUGUGGGCCUAAUUACAGUUUUGUUCAGAAUAAAUUCCUCAGGGAUGUAGUUGUAAGGUCUGAGCUUACUGCAGCUGGGUCUGCUGGAGAUGACUUUUCAAUACCUGAGCUGAAAAUUGAGUCGAAAGUCAGGGGAGCUGGUUUUUAUGCUGUCACUUCAUUUGCUGCCAUAUUUCUUUUUGUGUUGAUGGUUGUUGGACAUCCGUAUGUGCUCCUGGUCGAUCCCUACCGGAGAAAGUUCCAACAUUUUAUUGCCAAGGUGUGGGCGAAGCUGACCGUGGCCCCGUUUUUCAAAAUUGAUUUUGUGGGAUUGGAGAAUCUGCCUCCUCCGGAUACUCCUGCUGUGUAUGUUUCGAAUCAUCAGAGUUUUCUAGACAUAUAUACUCUUCUUACAUUAGGAAGAAGCUUUAAAUUCAUAAGCAAGACUGCAAUAUUCCUCUACCCAAUAAUUGGAUGGGCGAUGUUUAUUUUGGGGGUCAUUCCUUUAAAGCGCAUGGAUAGCCGAAGCCAGAUGGAAUGUCUCAAACGGUGCAUGGAUCUGAUCAAGAAAGGAGCCUCAGUUUUUUUCUUUCCGGAGGGAACACGCAGUAAAGAUGGAAAACUAGGCACUUUCAAGAAAGGUGCUUUCAGCAUUGCUGCAAAGACAAAUGCACCAGUGGUUCCGAUUACCCUUAUUGGAACUGGCCAAAUCAUGCCUCCAGGGUGGGAGGGUAUAGUGAACCCAGGUUCCGUGAAAGUUGUUAUACAUAAACCAAUAGAUGGAAACAAUGCUGAAAUGUUAUGCAAAGAAGCUAGGAAGGCGAUUGCUAGUGUCCUGACUGAAACCUGAGGAAAUGUACGACAAAAGAGUUCUUUUUUCAUCUCUAUUGCAUGAGAGUCAAACCAAACACCCUGUUCCUUGAAAUGAUUUGGGAAGUAAUGCUUUGCUUAGGUGGAAUGGAACUAUAAUUCAUGUUGGGGCACCAGGUGUACUAGCUUUGAGUUUGCACCUGUUCAGCCAUUGAGGUUCUUUCUUGAAGCUUCAUCAGUCCUAUUGUUCUUCCACGUUUUUCUUCUGGUAGGGAGGGAGGGGGUGCAGUGAGGUUUUUCUGUGCAUCUGCUGUGUCAGAUGGUUGGGUAACUGUAUCUAACUACCUAUAUACCUACUGAAAAUUUUGCGAUUUUAGGAAAAUGAGUAUAGGAAUAUGAAGCAUUUACAGUCCACACACGGUUUUGCAAUAAACUUUCUAUACAUUCACACACCACUUUCUCUUCUAUUCAAUUUUUAAUCACUUUCUCUUCGUAUAGUUCUUAUUUUCCUGUCACAUCAUUUAUCUUAUCUCUCAUUUCACUCUCUUA